CGUCAAGAGUCUUCUGAGGCUCAACGCCGUUUCGGCGAGCAGAUUUCUUUUGCCUAGCAGAAGGUAAAAGGAAAUG
RNAcentral lists this small RNA (76 nucleotides) under Shinella sp. WSC3-e. RNAcentral describes it as "S-element". It matches the Rfam family "S-element". From Rfam's summary of the family: This family represents a group of S-elements from p42d and related plasmids. The S-element has multiple functions and is believed to act as a negative regulator of repC transcription, be required for efficient replication and act as a translational enhancer of repC. The record is from RNAcentral. Lineage: Bacteria; Pseudomonadati; Pseudomonadota; Alphaproteobacteria; Hyphomicrobiales; Rhizobiaceae.